This 146-nucleotide microRNA precursor is filed under the name Gossypium hirsutum (cotton). Its description in RNAcentral is "MIR7502 microRNA precursor family". It matches the Rfam family "MIR7502 microRNA precursor family". Lineage: Eukaryota; Viridiplantae; Streptophyta; Magnoliopsida; Malvales; Malvaceae. The record is from Rfam by way of RNAcentral.
UUUUAAUAAAUUUAAUCCAUUUUUGUUGUUAGAAACUAAUAUGACUGAUAGAAUAACAAAACAAUGACGUGUGAUGUGUUAUAUGUACCUCAUGCUAAUAUAUAGAAACUAUUUUUUAAUAAUAAAAAUAAAUAAAAAUUUUAACA